GACGAACCGAGCGAACGUUGUUCGGAAUCACUGGGCUUAAAGGGCGCGUAGGCGGGUGCUCAAGUCCGGGGUGAAAUCCUCCAGCUCAACUGGAGAACUGCCUCGGAUACUGGGUGCCUCGAGGGUGGUAGGGGUAUGCGGAACUAUCGGUGGAGCGGUGAAAUGCGUUGAUAUCGAUAGGAACUCCGGUGGCGAAGGCGGCAUACUGGACCACAUCUGACGCUGAGGCGCGAAAGCUAGGGGAGCAAACGGG
Molecule: ribosomal RNA, 253 nt
Filed under: uncultured bacterium
Lineage: Bacteria
Description: partial 16S ribosomal RNA
Rfam family: Bacterial small subunit ribosomal RNA
Source: RNAcentral